Molecule: ribosomal RNA, 507 nt
Filed under: Colletotrichum cf. gloeosporioides ROG-2010
Lineage: Eukaryota; Fungi; Ascomycota; Sordariomycetes; Glomerellales; Glomerellaceae
Description: eukaryotic LSU rRNA
Rfam family: 5.8S ribosomal RNA (bases 178-331)
Source: RNAcentral
CAUUACUGAGUUUACGCUCUAUAACCCUUUGUGAACAUACCUAUAACUGUUGCUUCGGCGGGUAGGGUCUCCGCGACCCUCCCGGCCUCCCGCCCCCGGGCGGGUCGGCGCCCGCCGGAGGAUAACCAAACUCUGAUUUAACGACGUUUCUUCUGAGUGGUACAAGCAAAUAAUCAAAACUUUUAACAACGGAUCUCUUGGUUCUGGCAUCGAUGAAGAACGCAGCGAAAUGCGAUAAGUAAUGUGAAUUGCAGAAUUCAGUGAAUCAUCGAAUCUUUGAACGCACAUUGCGCCCGCCAGCAUUCUGGCGGGCAUGCCUGUUCGAGCGUCAUUUCAACCCUCAAGCUCUGCUUGGUGUUGGGGCCCUACAGCUGAUGUAGGCCCUCAAAGGUAGUGGCGGACCCUCCCGGAGCCUCCUUUGCGUAGUAACUUUACGUCUCGCACUGGGAUCCGGAGGGACUCUUGCCGUAAAACCCCCAAUUUUCCAAAGGUUGACCUCGGAUCAGG